UCAACCAAAGGAGCAAUCCGCUAUGAGAUGGACCCGCGGCGCAUUAGCUAGUUGGUGGGGUAACGGCCUACCAAGGCGACGAUGCGUAGCCGACCUGAGAGGGUGAUCGGCCACAUUGGGACUGAGACACGGCCCAGACUCCUACGGGAGGCAGCAGUGGGGAAUAUUGCACAAUGGGGGAAACCCUGAUGCAGCAACGCCGCGUGAGUGAUGAAGGUUUUCGGAUCGUAAAGCUCUGUCUUUGGGGAAGAUAAUGACGGUACCCAAGGAGGAAGCCACGGCUAACUACGUGCCAGCAGCCGCGGUAAUACGUAGGUGGCGAGCGUUAUCCGGAUUUACUGGGCGUAAAGGGAGCGUAGGCGGAUGAUUAAGUGGGAUGUGAAAUACCCGGGCUCAACUUGGGUGCUGCAUUCCAAACUGGUUAUCUAGAGUGCA
This 435-nucleotide ribosomal RNA is filed under the name Clostridium perfringens. Its description in RNAcentral is "bacterial SSU rRNA". It matches the Rfam family "Bacterial small subunit ribosomal RNA", at positions 197 to 650 of the family's 1533-position model. The record is from RNAcentral. Lineage: Bacteria; Bacillati; Bacillota; Clostridia; Eubacteriales; Clostridiaceae.